AUUGAACGCUGGCGGAAUGCUUUACACAUGCAAGUCGAACGGCAGCACGGGGGCGAACCCUGGUGGCGAGUGGCGAACGGGUGAGUAAUACAUCGGAACGUGCCCAGUCGUGGGGGAUAACGUAGCGAAAGCUACGCUAAUACCGCAUACGAUCUACGGAUGAAAGCGGGGGACGUCGCAAGGGCCUCGCGCGAUUGGAGCGGCCGAUGGCAGAUUAGGUAGUUGGUGGGGAAAGGCUCACCAAGCCAACGAUCUGUAGCUGGUCUGAGAGGACGACCAGCCACACUGGGACUGAGACACGGCCCAGACUCCUACGGGAGGCAGCAGUGGGGAAUUUUCCGCAAUGGGCGAAAGCCUGACGGAGCGACGCCGCGUGUGGGAAGAAGGCCU
Molecule: ribosomal RNA, 390 nt
Filed under: uncultured bacterium
Lineage: Bacteria
Description: bacterial SSU rRNA
Rfam family: Bacterial small subunit ribosomal RNA
Source: RNAcentral